UACAGAGGUCCCGAGCGUUUGUUCGGAUUCAUUGGGCGUAAAGGGUGCGUAGGCGGCGGGGCAAGUCUGAUGUGAAAUCCCGGGGCUCAACCCCGGAACUGCAUUGGAUACUGCCUUGCUUGAGUACUGGAGAGGGAACUGGAAUUUACGGUGUAGCAGUGAAAUGCGUAGAGAUCGUAAGGAAGGCCAGUGGCGAAGGCGAGUUCCUGGACAGUGACUGACGCUGAGGCACGAAGGCCAGGGGAGCAAACGGG
This 254-nucleotide ribosomal RNA is filed under the name uncultured bacterium. Its description in RNAcentral is "partial 16S ribosomal RNA". It matches the Rfam family "Bacterial small subunit ribosomal RNA", at positions 524 to 776 of the family's 1533-position model. The record is from RNAcentral.